RNAcentral lists this ribosomal RNA (344 nucleotides) under uncultured bacterium. RNAcentral's name for it is "bacterial SSU rRNA". It matches the Rfam family "Bacterial small subunit ribosomal RNA", at positions 8 to 334 of the family's 1533-position model. The record is from RNAcentral.
AGAGUUUGAUUAUGGCUCAGGACGAACGCUGGCGGCAUGCCUAACACAUGCAAGUCGAACGGAGCACCCUUGACUAAGUUUUCGGACGAGGGAGAGGAAUGCUUAGUGGCGGACGGGUGAGUAACGCGUGAGCAAUCUGCCUUUCAGAGGGGGACAACAGCUGGAAACGGCUGCUAAUACCGCAUAAUAUAUACUGGCCGCAUGACCGGUAUAUCAAAGAUUUAUCGCUGAAAGAUGAGCUCGCGUCUGAUUAGCUAGUUGGUGAGGUAACGGCCCACCAAGGCGACGAUCAGUAGCCGGACUGAGAGGUUGAACGGCCACAUUGGGACUGAGAUACGGCCCAG